CUCUAUCAACAUCCAUAUUCACUGUUUCGUAGCAUCAAACCCAACCAUCAAAAUCAACAAUCUCCCACUAACUUCAGCCUCUAUCAACAUCAGUCGCUCCAUUCCAAUUUCAGUUCGACAAGCCACUAACUUUACAAGUGCGCUUUUACAAUCAUGGCAUUCAAAUCCCCGAUUUAUAUGAGCGGAAUGGAUGUUUGUGUUUUCAAUGGCCAUAUUAAAAUGGCAGACUGAAAUCACGAGAAAGAAGGAGAAGAAGGAUUGGGUCUGGGUUUGUUUUGGAUUGCGCAUGACACCAUACAUCUUGAGUUCAGAAAUGCUGCCGUUAUGUCAAGUGGGAAGAGUAUGAGGCGUUGCAAUCAUAACUCAUGCAGGGAGUAAAUGUAAUGCCAAGCCCUGAAGCCCGAAGGAAGGUUGAUCCAAACUAGUGGGAGUUUGCAAAUGAGUGGUUCCUAAGGAGCAGACACAUUUAUUGAAAAAUUUUGUGAGGAGAAAAUGCAACAAUAACUUUCCCUCUCAGAGUUCAUGUUCUGGAUUUCUGUUUCAGGGUUGGACCUAAUUUUCAAGUUUGCAACUUUAUAAUCCCAAAAGCCAGAAGAGAUUUAGGGCUUGACAUAGUCUAAAAUCCAUGGGAGAAGAUCAUGUGUACACAAAAGAUCGGAGGGUUGAAUCCAUUCCAGAUGAGGUUCUCAAAUUUUGAUUUGUUUUUAGUUUUUCCCCGUUCUCUUCUUUUUACUAAAACCUGUCUUCAUUUGUUUGUGUACAGCUCCUUGCAUUCUCUGGCUCACACCCACUUAACAGUAAUUGGCUCAGUUUUAAUAGUGAGGUUUCUUCCCUUUUCCUUUCCCUCACAAGCUGGAAUAUGGGCUUUUGAACAUCAAGCCUGAACGUAUGGAUACUUUCUUUUCCUGUUAUCUUUAGUCAACGUCUUAGUUUGAGUGAACAAAAACUAGAGGAUCAGAGGUUUUGACUCCACAGAGGUGCACUCUCUACAGUGAUUGUAUUUGUUUAUGCAGAUUCUGUAUGCAAGCAGGUCUGCCAUUACCCUGAUCCUGUAACAAGGUUUAACAUUGCACCAGACUUGAUGAAUCAAGCAAAAGAUUAUUUGAACAAAACUAUAUAUGUUGGCUAGAGUGAGUGUUUUAGAAUGCGCAAAAAAAAAAAAAAAAUGUAUCUUCUAAUGUUCCAAUUAUGUUUAUUCGACCCAAAAGUUGUGGUUGCACAGUUGUGUGCAGUCCUGCCUUACUUUGAAUGCCAAUUUAGGAUGGCCUGCCUUUGGAAUG
Long non-coding RNA from Rosa rugosa (rugosa rose), 1280 nucleotides. RefSeq lists it as uncharacterized. The record is from RefSeq and is a predicted model, not a curated record. The transcript is spliced from 6 exons. NCBI's taxonomy places the organism in Eukaryota, Viridiplantae, Streptophyta, Magnoliopsida, Rosales, Rosaceae.